AUGCUCUCUAAUCUAACUUACCUGGACAUUAGUCUCAAUGAUCUUCAUGGUGUGCUCACGGAGGAGCACUUUGCUAAAAUGGCCAGUUUAGAGACAUUGGACCUAUCGCAGAAUCCCCUACUCAAGAUUCACGUGGAUUCAGAAUGGAAGACUCCCUUCAAGCUUAGAGAUGCAAAUUUUUCGUUGUGCAUCAUGGGUCCCCUUUUUCCUGCCUGGCUCCAGUGGCAGGUGAAUCUUACUUACCUUGACAUCUCAAGCUCAGGUAUAACUGAUAAGCUCCCGGACUGGUUCACCAUUGCAUUUUCAACAAUGGAUUUUCUGGAUAUGUCCAAUAAUUCAAUAUAUGGCGAGUUGCCGGAAAAUAUGGAGGACAUGUCAUUGACACAAUUCUUUCUCGAUUCCAAUAGACUUACUGGGCCCAUACCAAGUCUACCAAGGAAUAUCAUCUACUUGGAUAUCUCCAUGAACUCUUUAUCAGGGCCUUUCCCAUCCAAUCUUGGAGCUCCGGGACUAGAAAUGCUGCUUAUGUUCUCGAAUGGCAUCGUGGGUCAUCUUCCCGAAUCAAUCUGCCAUUCACAGAAGUUGAUAGUCUUAGACUUAGCAAACAACCUUCUCGUUGGAGAACUACCUUCAUGUUCUAGAAUGGAAUCCUUGAGGUACCUGCUGUUAAGUAACAAUAGCUUCUCUGGACCAUUCCCACCAUUUGUACAGAGCUGCAAAAAUUUGGGUUUCUUGGAUCUUGCAUGGAAUAACUUAUCCGGAACAUUGCCGACGUGGAUUGGCAACUUGGUGCAACUGCAAUUUGUACGGUUGAGUUAUAACAUGUUCUCUGGGAAGAUCCCGGUCAUCAUCACAAAACUCAAGUUCCUUCAUCAUUUGAAUCUAGCAGGAAAUAAUAUAUCCGGAUCCAUCCCACUGGGUAUGUCAAACCUAACAGCAAUGACACGGAUGGCGGUAAGGAUUGGCUCGUUUCCUUAUCAGGCGUAUGCAAAUGCGGCGGGUGAAGGUGGAAAUAGCUUGUCCGUUGUUACCAAGGGGCAAGAACUUAAGUAUGGUGUAGGAAUUUUGGAUAUGGUGAGCAUUGACUUAUCCUUCAACGGGUUAACUGGGAUAAUUCCAGAGGAAAUUGCUUCUCUUGACGCACUGUUAAACAUAAAUGUGUCUUGGAAUCGCCUGAGCGGUAAAUUCCCAGAAAAUAUUGGGGCCAUACAGUCACUUGAGUCACUCGACCUCUCAAAGAACAUGCUCUCUCGCGAGAUCCCUUCAAGCUUGUCAAAGAUAACAUACUUAAGCUUCUUGAACCUAUCUGAAAACAAUCUUACAGGGAGAAUACCACCAGGCUCUCAGCUUGACACCCUGUACCAGGAGCACCCAUCUAUAUACGAUGGCAACAGUGGGCUUUGCGGACCUCCUCUUCAGAAGAAUUGCUCGAGAAAUGGUACAUCAACGCAAGAUGGUCAGAACAGAACUGGCCAUGGUUUUGAGCCAAUGUCUUUUAGAUUUGGGCUUGUUCUGGGUCUCAUUAUGGGCCUCUGGUUGGCGCUCUUCACCCUUCUAUUAAUGAAAGCAUGGAGGAUUGCUUAUUUCCGCCUCUUUGACAAGUUGUAUGAUCAGAUAUAUGUGUUUGCCGUUGUUAAAUGGAAAAGAUUGGCCAGAGCAGGAACAACAGAUUAG
RNAcentral lists this ribosomal RNA (1674 nucleotides) under Triticum aestivum (bread wheat). RNAcentral's name for it is "partial small subunit ribosomal RNA". Lineage: Eukaryota; Viridiplantae; Streptophyta; Magnoliopsida; Poales; Poaceae. The record is from RNAcentral.